AGUGCAUUCGUCGCCGGAGGAUGAUGUUGCAUUUCACCCAAGUGGAAAUUUCUUGGUGACUGGCGGCGAUGACGAUACAAUAAGAUUGCUUGAUUUAUUAGAAGUUGCCCGUUUGGAAAUCUAAUUUGCAUACAUUUGAUGCCAA
Rhagoletis zephyria (snowberry fruit fly) is the source of this 145-nucleotide long non-coding RNA. RefSeq lists it as uncharacterized. The record is from RefSeq and is a predicted model, not a curated record. Lineage: Eukaryota; Metazoa; Arthropoda; Insecta; Diptera; Tephritidae.